AUGGACCUUCUCCUCCAUGGUCUCGUUUCUCCCCGUUCCCUACAACAUGGUCCCUCGACUGCGUGUGUCCAGGUUGACUCAUCCUGAGCCAGGUGAAGUCUUGAUCUCUUCUUUCCUGUACGCUUGCACUGCUCUCUGUUGGUAACAGAAAGCUGAGAGCUUGGAGAUUCAUUGGAUUGCUGUCAAUGAUUUGUUGUGUAUGGGAGUGUUUGUGUCCACUAUUGUUCCAUCCAGAGGCUAAAUUUGAAAAAGGAUUGUAAGUUGAGUUCAUUAUCCAUAAUGAAGACUUACUUCAUUAAGUAGCAAGCCAUUUUAAAGCUUGUUUUUCAAACAAGGACAAAAGUGUGCUAGAAAGCAGAAAAUAUGGAGCUCAUAAGGUUUAAGCUUAGAAACUGCAUCAGAUUUAGGUUCGGUUGUGGGUUAGGGUCAGGUAUUUAGCAGGGUUAAGGUUAGGGGUUAAGGGUUGCUGACUGUUACAACGUGUCAUCUGACCACAUUAGUGAUAGGCUAGAACAGGGGUCCCCAAACUACGGUCCGCCGGGCGCAUACGGCCCGCCUCCACAUUUGACCCGGCCCCCUGAACAAUACAGAGACGAGAAAAGGCUAAUGGUUAUGGUAAAUGGUUGUGUCAUACAAGUAAUUACGACUGCUCGACGGAUCGCGGUCCCUUUAAAUGUUCUGUUGUUGUUGAUGACGUAGAGCCCGUUGAUAGGGACAUUACAGGGCUGCGCCAUCUUGUUUUUUCAUCCGUUGUGAAAAAUAAACGAGACACACGCUUGUUCUCAACUUUCUCAGUGGAAUGCAACUUCCACAAUAAUGGCAAAACGGUGUGGUAAGAGAAAAAUUGAUUCAGAAUGCAGGGUAUUUAACCCGCAGUGGACACAUUACUUUUUUGUUCAGUUGAAAGAAAAGGCUGUUUGUCUCGUCUGUCAAGAGACGGUGGCAGUAUUCAAAGAAUACAACCUGCGCCGACAUUAUGAAUCCCGUCACAAAGACAAGUAUGCUAGCCUGCACGGCCAAAUGCGAGCAGAAAAAAUGUCUAAGCUAAAAACUGGACUGUUCGCUCAGCAGACUACAUUUGUACGGCAAACUCAGCUGAACCAAGCAUCAGUUCGGGCCAGCUUCCGUGUUGCUCAGCUGAUAGCAAGCUGCGGUAAAUCUUUCACUGAAGGAGAGUUUGUCAAGAAAUGUUUGAAUGUUGUCGUGGAGGAGGUCUGUCCCGAGAAGAAAGAUGUCUUUAAUUCCGUGAGUCUGUCGGCAAGUACAAUUACCCGACGUGUUGAAGAAAUCGGGGGUAAUGUGUAUGCCCAGCUGCAGCAGAAGACUAAAGAUUUUCAGGUUUUUUCAUUAGCACUGGAUGAGAGCACGGACGUGCAGGACACCGCGGAGCUUCUUAUUUUUAUUCGUGGAGUUAACGCAAACUUUUUGGCAGCACGUAUAUCUGCGAGCAAACCUUUUCACGCAUGAAACUCCUGAAAACUCCAACGAGAUCAAGAUUGACAGAUGAACAUUUGCAUCAGUGUUUGAGACUGGCUGUGACUAGAAUGGAACCGGACAUUCAACUUCUCUCCAGCCAGAUGCAGGCCCACAGAUCACACUGAUGAACACACAGUACAUAGGGGGAAGUUGAUGAGAGGGAGCCUACAGUGGUGUCUACUGGGCUAGCCUAUGGAACCUACAAAGAACACAAGAACUUUGAGAGACAUUUGAGAUUCUGCUGUGACAAGUGAAGUUUACCUUUUAUCUAGGAUUGUGCAUGGCACAGCAUAACUUUCUUUCUGUGAAGAACCCAGAGAGGGUUAUUUGAUCUCAGAAAGGGUUAUUAAUAUUUGGAUAUGUGUGGUGCGCUGGAGUGUCAGCAUGUUUUCUGGAAAACAAUAAAUUGAUUACAUUUAGGGACCCCUG
This is a non-coding RNA of Gasterosteus aculeatus aculeatus (three-spined stickleback), 1905 nucleotides long. NCBI's taxonomy places the organism in Eukaryota, Metazoa, Chordata, Actinopteri, Perciformes, Gasterosteidae. The record is from RefSeq and is a predicted model, not a curated record.